GACAGAGGGGGCAAGCGUUGCUCGGAAUUACUGGGCGUAAAGGGCGCGUAGGCGGAAUGGCAAGUCGGUCGUGAAAUCCUUCGGCUCAACCGAAGAACGUCGAUCGAAACUGCCGUUCUUGAGGAUUGCAGAGGAGACUGGAAUUCCCGGUGUAGCGGUGAAAUGUGUAGAGAUCGGGAGGAACACCGGUGGCGAAGGCGGGUCUCUGGGACGGUACUGACGCUGAGACGCGAAAGCGUGGGGAGCGAACAGG
RNAcentral lists this ribosomal RNA (253 nucleotides) under uncultured bacterium. RNAcentral describes it as "partial 16S ribosomal RNA". It matches the Rfam family "Bacterial small subunit ribosomal RNA", at positions 524 to 776 of the family's 1533-position model. The record is from RNAcentral.